AGAGUUUGAUCCUGGCUCAGGAUGAACGCUGGCGGCGUGCUUAACACAUGCAAGUCGAACGAACCUUCGGGUUAGUGGCGGACGGGUGAGUAACGCGUGAGAAUCUGCCCUCAGGAGGGGGAUAACGGCUGGAAACGGCCGCUAAUACCCCAUAUGCCGAGAGGUGAAAUGAAUUUCGCCUGAGGAUGAGCUCGCGUCUGAUUAGCUAGUUGGUGUGGUAAAGGCUCACCAAGGCAUCGAUCAGUAGCUGGUCUGAGAGGAUGAUCAGCCACACUGGGACUGAGACACGGCCCAGACUCCUACGGGAGGCAGCAGUGGGGAAUUUUCCGCAAUGGGCGCAAGCCUGACGGAGCAACGCCGCGUGAGGGAUGAAGGCCUCUGGGCUGUAAACCUCUUUUAUCAAGGAAGAAGAUCUGACGGUACUUGAUGAAUAAGCCACGGCUAAUUCCGUGCCAGCAGCCGCGGUAAUACGGGAGUGGCAAGCGUUAUCCGGAAUUAUUGGGCGUAAAGCGUCCGCAGGCGGUCUUGAAAGUCUGUUGUUAAAGCGUGGAGCUCAACUCCAUUUCAGCAAUGGAAACUAGAAGACUAGAGUGUGGUAGGGGCAGAGGGAAUUCCCGGUGUAGCGGUGAAAUGCGUAGAUAUCGGGAAGAACACCAGUGGCGAAGGCGCUCUGCUGGGCCAUAACUGACGCUCAUGGACGAAAGCCAGGGGAGCGAAAGGGAUUAGAUACCCCUGUAGUCCUGGCCGUAAACGAUGAACACUAGGUGUCGGGGGAAUCGACCCCCUCGGUGUCGUAGCCAACGCGUUAAGUGUUCCGCCUGGGGAGUACGCACGCAAGUGUGAAACUCAAAGGAAUUGACGGGGGCCCGCACAAGCGGUGGAGUAUGUGGUUUAAUUCGAUGCAACGCGAAGAACCUUACCAGGGUUUGACAUCCUGCGAAUCCCUUGGAAACUUGGGAGUGCCUUCGGGAGCGCAGUGACAGGUGGUGCAUGGCUGUCGUCAGCUCGUGUCGUGAGAUGUUGGGUUAAGUCCCGCAACGAGCGCAACCCACGUUUUUAGUUGCCAGCAUUAAGUUGGGCACUCUAGAGAGACUGCCGGUGAUAAACCGGAGGAAGGUGUGGAUGACGUCAAGUCAUCAUGCCCCUUACAUCCUGGGCUACACACGUACUACAAUGCUACGGACAAAGGGCAGCAAACUCGCGAGAGCUAGCAAAUCCCAUAAACCGUGGCUCAGUUCAGAUCGUAGGCUGCAACUCGCCUACGUGAAGGAGGAAUCGCUAGUAAUCGCAGGUCAGCAUACUGCGGUGAAUACGUUCCCGGGCCUUGUACACACCGCCCGUCACACCAUGGAAGUUGGCCACGCCCGAAGUCGUUACUCCAACCCGCAAGGGAGGAGGAUGCCGAAGGUGGGGCUGAUGACUGGGGUGAAGUCGUAACAAGGUA
RNAcentral lists this ribosomal RNA (1444 nucleotides) under metagenome. RNAcentral describes it as "bacterial SSU rRNA". It matches the Rfam family "Bacterial small subunit ribosomal RNA". The record is from RNAcentral.